This 2055-nucleotide small RNA is filed under the name Pongo abelii (Sumatran orangutan). Its description in RNAcentral is "processed transcript". The record is from RNAcentral. Lineage: Eukaryota; Metazoa; Chordata; Mammalia; Primates; Hominidae.
ACAGUCAAGAAAGGUAUAGAUCCUGCAGACUGUGUGGAGGCCAUGCUUUCACAUCAAGCCUUCCUCAGUGACUUGCUGAGCCUGACUGUGUUCUUAUUUGCUGGGUCUCUCUCUGGAAAUCUCCACUUUGAGUGUUUCCAACAACUGUGAUUCCAUUUUUGUGAAUGGGAAGGAAAUGAAGAGCAAAGUGGACACGAUUGUGAACUUCACCCACCAGCACUUCACCUCCCAGUUCGAGGUCACUGUCUGGGCGCCCAGGCUCCCCCUGCAGAUUGAGAUCUCAGACACCGAGCUGAGCCAGAUCAAGGGCUGGAGGAUCCCGGUUGCUGCCAACAGAAGGCCUACCCGGGAAAGUGAUGAUGAGGACGAUGAGGAGAAGAAGGGACGAGGCUGCUCCCUGCAGUACCAGCACGCCACGGUGCGUGUCCUCACCCAGUUUGUGGCCGAGUCACCUGACUUAGGGCAGCUGACCUACAUGCUGGGCCCCGACUGGCAGUUUGACAUCACUGACCUUGUGACUGAGUUCAUGAAGGUGGAGGAGCCGAAAAUCGCUCAGUUACAGGACGGCAGGACCCUGGCUGGUCGGGAGCCGGGAAUAACCACGGUGCAGGUCCUCUCGCCGCUGUCUGACUCCAUCCUGGCUGAGAAGACGGUGAUCGUCCUGGACGACCGAGUCACCAUCGCGGAGCUGGGAGUGCAGCUCGUAGCUGGCGUGUCUCUCUCCCUGCAGCCACACCGAGCAGACAAAAGGGCCAUCGUCUCCACAGCUGCCGCCAUGGAUGUUCUUCAGUCCCCACAGCAGGAAGCAAUAGUAAGUUCUUGGAUUUUGUUCAGUGAUGGUUCGGUGACACCUUUAGACAUUUACGAUCCUAAGGAUUAUUCUGUUGCUGUCUCAUCAUUGGAUGAAAUGGUGGUGUCUGUCCAGGCAAACCUUGAGUCCAAAUGGCCAAUUGUGGUUGCAGAGGGUGAAGGACAAGGGCCUUUGAUUAAGUUAGAAAUGAUGAUAAGUGAACCUUGUCAGAAGACCAAGAGGAAGAGUGUUCUUGCCGUGGGUAAAGGAAACGUCAAGGUCAAAUUCGAACCAAGUAGUGAUGAGCACCAAGGAGGCAGCAAUGAUAUUGAGGGCAUAAAUCGGGAAUAUAAAGACCACCUCAGUAAUUCCAUAGAGCGCGAAGGAAACCAGGAGAGAGCAGUCCAGGAAUGGUUCCACCGUGGCACACCUGUUGGCCAAGAGGAAAGUACCAACAAAAGCACAACCCCCCAGUCUCCCAUGGAAGGGAAGAAUAAGUUACUCAAAAGUGGUGGUCCAGAUGCCUUUACAAGCUUCCCCACUCAAGGGAAGUCACCGGACCCCAAUAAUCCUAGUGACCUCACAGUGACCUCAAGGGGGCUAACGGACUUGGAGAUUGGCAUGUAUGCCCUGCUCUGCGUCUUCUGCCUGGCGAUUCUGGUCUUCUUGAUCAACUGCGUGGCAUUUGCCUGGAAAUACAGACACAAAAGGUUUGCUGUGAGUGAGCAGGGCAACAUGCCCCAUUCCCACGACUGGGUCUGGCUUGGGAAUGAAGUGGAACUUUUGGAGAACCCUGUUGACAUUACACUCCCAUCUGAGGAGUGCACAACCAUGAUAGACAGGGGCCUGCAGUUCGAGGAGAGGAACUUCCUUCUGAACGGCAGUUCCCAGAAGACUUUUCAUAGUCAACUACUCAGACCCUCUGACUAUGUCUAUGAGAAAGAAAUUAAAAAUGAACCUAUGAAUUCUUCGGGCCCAAAGAGGAAGAGAGUCAAGUUCACUUCCUACACCACCAUCCUCCCAGAGGACGGCGGCCCAUACACCAACUCCAUCCUGUUUGACAGCGAUGAUAACAUCAAGUGGGUCUGCCAAGAUAUGGGGCUGGGGGAUUCACAGGACUUUAGAGACUAUAUGGAAAGACUGCAAGACCAGAUGUAAACUCCUUUCUUAUGUUUGUAUUCACCUUUAUGCCUUCUGUUUUUUGAAUGCUGAAGCAGUGAGUUUGAUCAGCAAUAGGGGAUGAUUUAACAAAGUUUGAUUUGUGG